GAGGAGAAAUUACACAGUAAGCCUUACCGCUCUCUUUCUUGCAACUAAAAUGCUCCUUUUGUUUUGUCUUCUUUCAGGUGUGUGCUGCAGUUGCCAGAGGAGUGGUGGGAGCUCUCAAGAUGCGGGUGCCACCACAGCCGUGCAGCUGCCAGCAGGGCAGUGUGAAUGUGGAGGUGUGCUCUCUUCGUGGUACUGCAUGGCUCCAAAAUCCUACCCAGACUAACAGGGAGUAAAUAUGUUGUCGAUUACUCCUGGAUGUCCUAGAGGGACGAGAGUGGUACUGGUUUGAGUUCACUUCAGAACAGUGCACCUGUAUACAUCCCUGACCCAGCUCUCCUUUAGCUACCAAACCAGCAGCUGGGACAGCCAGGAGGAAAAUUAAGCUGUGAACUGGAAUUCCAUCAGGCUGUCUGCUGCGAAGCCCUGCGGCUUUAGCAAACAGGCAGCAGUGGUCAGAAAUGACACUCAAAAGAAAGUGGCAUGUAACUCAUAGAGGACUUCCAGCUCCUGUGAAAGAGGGAGAGGAUAUUUCUGUUCUGCAGUCUUCACAUCUAAGGAGAAUUGUGGUGGUCUGUGCACCUACUACACGUGAUCAGGGAGCAGGAGGAGCCUGCUGCAGGCUCUGCUCAUAUAAGCUCUCUUCAGCUCUCACUGCAGGUAUUGAAAGCCUAUGCUGUCUCCAGGACUGAGAACUUUGUGUUUCCAUUGCCUUCUAUCUCUCAGGCAUGGUAUAAUGACAAACCAAUUCUUCUGCUUCCUAGUUAAUGGAUAGGUUAUUUAUUUAUUUAUUUUUAAAUUGUUAAAGAAAGGCUAGCUUUUAGCUAUUAAACGUCUUUCAUGAUAUUUAUGACAGAUUCUCCACUACUUUCUUGGUGCACAUAGUCUUCAAGAUCCUUAAAGGGCAAUUCUUAGAUUUUCUGUGCUUGGUGCUAAUGUAGCACUUGUUUCAUAACGAACUCGAAAUGGUGGGUUUUUGCUCUGUACACAAUUAGAAAACACCAAAAGCUCCACUAAAGGAAA
This 1020-nucleotide long non-coding RNA is filed under the name Numida meleagris (helmeted guineafowl). RNAcentral describes it as "lncRNA (ENSNMEG00000016789.1)". The record is from RNAcentral. Lineage: Eukaryota; Metazoa; Chordata; Aves; Galliformes; Numididae.